Molecule: long non-coding RNA, 653 nt
Filed under: Capra hircus (goat)
Lineage: Eukaryota; Metazoa; Chordata; Mammalia; Artiodactyla; Bovidae
Description: lncRNA (ENSCHIG00000007889.1)
Source: RNAcentral
GGGGAACGGUUCCCUUUGGGACCAGAGCAAAACAAUGUGAGUUGUAAUCAUCCUGCAUCCUCUCCAGCUGUUUGGACUUGAGGGAUAUUUGAAUCAACGUACAGACUGGGGAAAAGUUACCUGGCAGAGAAGAUAAGAGGCAAGGCUUCUCUCCCAUGUAAGUGAGGAGUUUGACAUCACUGAGAGAGCCAUCAUCCUUGGCAGCACCCAUGGGACGCGCUUGGCCUCUCUCCAUUUCUGUGGUAAAUCCAUCAACAUAAAAGCGUUCUCGUUUCAGAAAGAGUGCUCUGGAGGUGACCACAGUUGAGCUAAAGGAAGAGCUUUCAAUUUUGAUUUCACAAAUGCAUGGAAGCAGCCAAAGACAUUGAAGGUGCCUGACUUGCUCUGAAGUUCAAAAAUAGCUUCAAUGAGAAUCUCUAAUGCUGCAGCCAAGAGCGUCUCAUCUGAGGAAGCAGUGGAUGAUUUUGGCUAAGAAACCAUUCUGUCUGACCUGGGAUCCUGUGAAGAAUUCUGAGUUACAAGUGGCACAAAUGCAGGGCUCAAUAAUGCCAGAUGAAUGACUGGAGUUGAGAGGGAACAGAUAUUUUGAAGGUAUGUCUUAGUGAAGAUAUGGAAUUGCUUCUUUAUUUCAAACUCCAGUCAGGUUCCUAGAA